Molecule: ribosomal RNA, 291 nt
Filed under: uncultured bacterium
Lineage: Bacteria
Description: partial 16S ribosomal RNA
Rfam family: Bacterial small subunit ribosomal RNA
Source: RNAcentral
GUGUCAACAGCCGCGGUAAUACGGAGGGUGCGAGCGUUAAUCGGAAUUACUGGGCUUAAAGCGUGCGCAGGCGGUGAUGUAAGACAGGUGUGAAUCCCCGGGCCUAACCUGGGAACUGCAUUUGUGACUGCAUCGCUGGAGUGCGGCAGAGGGGGAUGGAAUUCCGCGUGUAGCAGUGAAAUGCGUAGAUAUGCGGAGGAACACCGAUGGCGAAGGCAAUCCCCUGGGCCUGCACUGACGCUCAUGCACGAAAGCGUGGGGAGCAAACAGGAUUAGAUACCCCAGUAGUCC